Molecule: ribosomal RNA, 497 nt
Filed under: uncultured bacterium
Lineage: Bacteria
Description: partial 16S ribosomal RNA
Rfam family: Bacterial small subunit ribosomal RNA
Source: RNAcentral
GAUGAACGCUGGCGGCGUGCCUAAUACAUGCAAGUCGAGCGAACGGACGAGAAGCUUGCUUCUCUGAUGUUAGCGGCGGACGGGUGAGUAACACGUGGAUAACCUACCUAUAAGACUGGGAUAACUUCGGGAAACCGGAGCUAAUACCGGAUAAUAUUUUGAACCGCAUGGUUCAAAAGUGAAAGACGGUCUUGCUGUCACUUAUAGAUGGAUCCGCGCUGCAUUAGCUAGUUGGUAAGGUAACGGCUUACCAAGGCAACGAUGCAUAGCCGACCUGAGAGGGUGAUCGGCCACACUGGAACUGAGACACGGUCCAGACUCCUACGGGAGGCAGCAGUAGGGAAUCUUCCGCAAUGGGCGAAAGCCUGACGGAGCAACGCCGCGUGAGUGAUGAAGGUCUUCGGAUCGUAAAGCUCUGUUAUUAGGGAAGAACAUAUGUGUAAGUAACUGUGCACAUCUUGACGGUACCUAAUUAGAAAGCCACGGCUAACUACGUG